ACAUCCAGAGAACUUUCCAGGGAUGGAUUGGUGCCUUCGGGAACUCUGAGACAGGUGCUGCAUGGCUGUCGUCAGCUCGUGUUGUGAAAUGUUGGGUUAAGUCCCGCAACGAGCGCAACCCUUAUCCUUUGUUGCCAGCGGUUAGGCCGGGAACUCAAAGGAGACUGCCAGUGAUAAACUGGAGGAAGGUGGGGAUGACGUCAAGUCAUCAUGGCCCUUACGAGUAGGGCUACACACGUGCUACAAUGGCGCAUACAAAGAGAAGCGACCUCGCGAGAGCAAGCGGACCUCAUAAAGUGCGUCGUAGUCCGGAUUGGAGUCUGCAACUCGACUCCAUGAAGUCGGAAUCGCUAGUAAUCGUGGAUCAGAAUGCCACGGUGAAUACGUUCCCGGGCCUUGUACACACCGCCCGUCACACCAUGGGAGUGGGUUGCAAAAGAAGUAGGUAGCUUAACCUUCGGGAGGGCGCUUACCACUUUGUGAUUCAUGACUGGGGUGAAGUCGUAACAAGGUAAGCGUAGUGCU
This 525-nucleotide ribosomal RNA is filed under the name uncultured bacterium. Its description in RNAcentral is "bacterial SSU rRNA". It matches the Rfam family "Bacterial small subunit ribosomal RNA", at positions 984 to 1509 of the family's 1533-position model. The record is from RNAcentral.